Grammomys surdaster is the source of this 128-nucleotide long non-coding RNA. RefSeq lists it as uncharacterized. The record is from RefSeq and is a predicted model, not a curated record. The transcript is spliced from 3 exons. Lineage: Eukaryota; Metazoa; Chordata; Mammalia; Rodentia; Muridae.
GAAAAAUGUUGCCGAUGUCCAAAGUGAUUGCCAUCACUCUAAGAAGGCGGCCUGCGCAUCACGUGGCUCAGAGUCAGCAAAAGAGUUAACCUUCUUCGUGGACUUCUGUCGUGAGAAAUUACCUGGAC